Non-coding RNA from Misgurnus anguillicaudatus (oriental weatherfish), 653 nucleotides. NCBI's taxonomy places the organism in Eukaryota, Metazoa, Chordata, Actinopteri, Cypriniformes, Cobitidae. The record is from RefSeq and is a predicted model, not a curated record.
AGAGGGGAGUUCAUUCAACCAAAAGACCAAUCCUUAACCACGAAUAAGUUUACAGCAAUGAGGAUAGCUUCCUGCGAGCUCCAGAGAAUUUUCUCCUAAACUCACACAAGUUAGCUAGGCAUAAAGCCAGUGUUGACGAAUUGGCUCCUUUGCCUUUCUGCUCUGCAACAUCUUCAUCAAUUAUUUAAUGAAUCACGUGACAUGGGGCAAAUAAGGGAUAAGGGAUGCGGAACCGGUAUCCUUUGAGUUGAAUCUUUUUACCAGUCACAGUAAAUUUGGUGCUUUCUGUAUUAUUGCAAUAAUAACGAACAAAAUCUAUUACACUUAGUAAUAUUGUGAGAUACAAAUAGACAAUUACUGUGUAUUGUUUUAGUAUGUAAGCUAUUACAAAUGCAAAGAAAAAUCAGUAAAGUGUCAAGAAGCUCUUUCAUCAAUUAACAUUUAACAGUAUUUGAAUUAUCUGAAUGUAUGGGAAAAAAUACCUGUCAUGUUACUUCUCGAUUAUCUGCAGUCUGUAAGGAUUCAUGAAUGACACGUGGAGUCCUUUGGUGUCCCCAGAUAGUCUCAUUGGUAUAUGUUUGUUGCUAUAUGAAAAUAAAUGAAAAUAAAGUCAAGUUUAAUUAUGAUAUUAAAAUAUAAACACUACAGAAACA